This 1877-nucleotide long non-coding RNA is filed under the name Rattus norvegicus (Norway rat). RNAcentral describes it as "long non-coding RNA NONRATT000192". The record is from RNAcentral. Lineage: Eukaryota; Metazoa; Chordata; Mammalia; Rodentia; Muridae.
GGACCUCUUUUUUUUUUUUUUUUUUUUUUUUAAUGUGAACUAGGAAAGCUUCCAUCUUCCUUUAUUAACUUGGAAUUGGGUCAUGUGUUACUUCAGCUAACAGGAUCCCUGGUGGAAACCUCGUUGGAAGAGUAGUUAUGAGAUCCGCUAGGAAGGCGUGUGUCCGUGGCCUGCUAAUUGAAAGGCUUGCCAUUGAAGUAAUCAGCCGGCACACGCCCCUGCCACGUGCAUUCCAACGGAAUGGAGGCCUUUCAUCCCUCUUCCCUAAUUUUUUUUUUAAUUGCGAAUUCUUGGUUCCCUUCGCUUGAAAUCCCCAAGCUACACAAGACGUAACUUAGAAAUAACUUGGUUUUCUUAGAAAAUGAAGAAAACCAUCAGGAAACAGAGCCACAAGUCUCUCCCUUUUGCCUCUCCUUUUCUUUGUUCCCUCCCUUUCACUUCCUCCCCCACACACUGGCCUCCAGCUCACAGCAGAGUCUCUUACCUCAGCCUCCUGGGUGCUGGGAUUACAGGCCUAAGCCACUACAUCCAAGUUCGAAUAUCAGAUUUCUUCCAGCAUAAUGUUGGCUCUCUCAAGGAUUCUUUUCCCUCUCUCCCAUUGUGGAUGACAUCAUGGAAAGAGUGUGUCAGAGCUAGCCAGACAGGAAGCCUGAGAGACAGGCCCAGGCAUGUACCUUUAUAAAAACACUCUCUUGAGAGCCCAACCGGGGUAUCACAGGAGCCCACAUACAUUCCUUCCCGAGUGCUACAUCCCCCAACCCCAGAGGCAAGGUUCUACCUCCUGUAGACAUGGCCACAUCUUAAAAUCACCAUGCUAAGGACUAAACCCCCAACAUGUGAAUGCUUAAGGAACAAACAGAAUCCAAACUCCAAGAGACUGAGGUGGUUUAUUAAGCUAAACAGUUUAGAUAGGUCAGUAUGUCUUAUGUCUAUAACCACAGCCCUUGCAAGGCUGAGGCAGGAGAAUGGCUACACCUCUAAAGCCAGCCUGGUCUAUAUAGCAAGUAUCAGGCUAGCUGGAUCUAUAACUCUGUCUUUUAAAAUAAUAAUAAUAAUAAUAAUAAUAAUAAUAAUAAUAAUAAUAAUAAUAAUAAAAACAUGCUAAGUAUAAAGUCAAAAUACAUAGCCCCACCAAAGAGGUUUAGCAGGAAAAAAACAGUAUUUUUUUUCUAUUUCUUUUCUUUUUUCUUUUCUCUUUCUAUGAUGACCUAGAUACAUGGCGAUUGAAAAUUUGCAAAAAAAAAAAAAAAAAAGGAAAGGAAUCCAGCCUGAUAUUUCAUAACUUGCACUGCCUACAACCACCCUAUCUGUAACCGGGGAUGGAUAACAAACCACAGCUCCAAUUUGUCUAAAUCUACAUGGUAUCCACAAGCUGUACCCAGGUGGGGCGUCAGCGAUGCCUGCCGGGGUUGGUGACCUCUAUCACCGAUGUUUCCAAGAAGUUCAGGCUGCUUGCCUAAAACAUGGAAUAAAGGCUCAGAGGAGUCUGGAGUCACAUCCAGGACUAUAGGACUCUAAAGGCAUUUUAGAAAGCUCCUCUCAGAGCAGAGAGAAGCAAGAACCUGCCAGCUGCUGUUUUCACAGCGCCGCUGGCCUCAGAGCACAGUUCAAGGGUUGGACAGGGUGUGGUCAUCUAGAGAGGCACGUGCUGAACCUUGAGCAGGCAAAGUGACAAGCCAUGCAGCCCGUGAGACUGCAGGAUGAGAGCGGGGAUCAGGGCACAGGACCUGUGUCACUCACUAGCCUUGGUCCCCACAGAGGGGUGAUGCCAGGCUGGUUCACCCAUGUCUGAUUAACAACAGAACGGGGGCUCUUCGGUGGAAUCCUACUUUCUGACCCACUUUUCUUCUUUCCCACAAGCUCACUCUCUCUCCCCU